This is a long non-coding RNA of Xiphophorus hellerii (green swordtail), 377 nucleotides long. RefSeq lists it as uncharacterized. Lineage: Eukaryota; Metazoa; Chordata; Actinopteri; Cyprinodontiformes; Poeciliidae. The transcript is spliced from 2 exons. The record is from RefSeq and is a predicted model, not a curated record.
CCUCUCAUCUUCACCUCCUGAGGAAAAUAAUAAAUUGUACACAAAUAGGUAAAUGCUAGUAAAGGUUACUAAACAGAAAGGUUUUUCUAAAAAGUUAUUUCCAAAAACUUGACCUCACUCUUUGCAUACAAACUUUACUGGAAAUUCACCACAGAAAGACCAUGGAAUACAUAUUUAGCUUACUUCUUGCUAAAACUUACAGAGAGCUAAAAAUAUGGUAUGUAUAAUGUUUUCCAAAACACAUGGACUGAAAAGUAAAGGGAAAAAAGCACUAUGAUUCACUAAAAAGUAAGGAAUGCAUUUCUAUACAAAAUACAAAUUAAAAUGAUAGAUUUUAGAUUUAAAACAAUGAUGCAAGUUGUGUAGCCUAUUUAAAA